UACGAAGGGGGCUAGCGUUGCUCGGAAUUACUGGGCGUAAAGCGCCCGUAGGCGGAUUGUUAAGUCGGGGGUGAAAUCCUGGAGCUCAACCUCGGAACUGCCUUUGAUACUGCAAGUCUCGAGUCCGAUAGAGGUGGGUGGAAUUCCUAGUGUAGAGGUGAAAUUCGUAGAUAUUAGGAAGAACACCGGUGGCGAAGGCGGCCCACUGGAUCGGUACUGACGCUGAGGUGCGAAAGCUAGGGGAGCAAACAGG
Molecule: ribosomal RNA, 253 nt
Filed under: uncultured bacterium
Lineage: Bacteria
Description: partial 16S ribosomal RNA
Rfam family: Bacterial small subunit ribosomal RNA
Source: RNAcentral